Molecule: ribosomal RNA, 488 nt
Filed under: uncultured bacterium
Lineage: Bacteria
Description: bacterial SSU rRNA
Rfam family: Bacterial small subunit ribosomal RNA
Source: RNAcentral
GGAUGAACGCUGGCGGCGUGCUUAACACAUGCAAGUCGAACGAAGCACUCUUACUUGAUUUCUUCGGAAUGAAGGUUUUUGUGACUGAGUGGCGGACGGGUGAGUAACGCGUGAGAAACCUGCCUUUCAGUGGGGGGACAACAGUUGGAAACGACUGCUAAUACCGCAUAAUGUUAUUUGGGGGCAUCCCCGAAUAACCAAAGCUUUAUGUGCUGAAAGAUGGUCUCGCGUCUGAUUAGCUAGAUGGCGGGGUAACGGCCCACCAUGGCGACGAUCAGUAGCCGGUCUGAGAGGAUGAACGGCCACAUUGGGACUGAGAUACGGCCCAGACUCCUACGGGAGGCAGCAGUGGGGAAUAUUGGGGCAAUGGGGGAAACCCUGACCCAGCAACGCCGCGUGAAGGAAGAAGGCCUUCGGGUUGUAAACUUCUUUUACCAGGGACGAAGAAAGUGACGGUACCUGGAGAAAAAGCAACGGCUAACUACGUG